AAAAAGAACCUGAAACCGUGUACGUACAAGCAGUGGGAGCACCUUCGGGUGUGACUGCGUACCUUUUGUAUAAUGGGUCAGCGACUUAUAUUCUGUAGCAAGGUUAACCGUAUAGGGGAGCCGCAGGGAAACCGAGUCUUAACUGGGCGUUAAGUUGCAGGGUAUAGACCCGAAACCCGGUGAUCUAGCCAUGGGCAGGUUGAAGGUUGGGUAACACUAACUGGAGGACCGAACCGACUAAUGUUGAAAAAUUAGCGGAUGACUUGUGGCUGGGGGUGAAAGGCCAAUCAAACCGGGAGAUAGCUGGUUCUCCCCGAAAGCUAUUUAGGUAGCGCCUCGUGAACUCAUCUUCGGGGGUAGAGCACUGUUUCGGCUAGGGGGUCAUCCCGACUUACCAACCCGAUGCAAACUACGAAUACCGAAGAAUGUUAUCACGGGAGACACACGGCGGGUGCUAACGUCCGUCGUGAAGAGGGAAACAACCCAGACCGCCAGCUAAGGUCCCAAAGUCAUGGUUAAGUGGGAAACGAUGUGGGAAGGCACAGACAGCCAGGAUGUUGGCUUAGAAGCAGCCAUCAUUUAAAGAAAGCGUAAUAGCUCACUGGUCGAGUCGGCCUGCGCGGAAGAUGUAACGGGGCUAAACCAUGCACCGAAGCUGCGGCAGCGACACUAUGUGUUGUUGGGUAGGGGAGCGUUCUGUAAGCCUGCGAAGGUGACCUGUGAGGGUUGCUGGAGGUAUCAGAAGUGCGAAUGCUGACAUAAGUAACGAUAAAGCGGGUGAAAAGCCCGCUCGCCGGAAGACCAAGGGUUCCUGUCCAACGUUAAUCGGGGCAGGGUGAGUCGACCCCUAAGGCGAGGCCGAAAGGCGUAGUCGAUGGGAAACAGGUUAAUAUUCCUGUACUUGGUGUUACUGCGAAGGGGGGACGGAGAAGGCUAUGUUAGCCGGGCGACGGUUGUCCCGGUUUAAGCAUGUAGGCUGGUUGUCCAGGCAAAUCCGGAUAAUCAAGGCUGAGGUGUGAUGACGAGGCACUACGGUGCUGAAGUAACAAAUGCCCUGCUUCCAGGAAAAGCCUCUAAGCAUCAGGUAACAUUAAAUCGUACCCCAAACCGACACAGGUGGUCAGGUAGAGAAUACCAAGGCGCUUGAGAGAACUCGGGUGAAGGAACUAGGCAAAAUGGUGCCGUAACUUCGGGAGAAGGCACGCUGGUGUGUAGGUGAAGUCCCUGCGGAUGGAGCUGAGACCAGUCGAAGAUACCAGCUGGCUGCAACUGUUUAUUAAAAACACAGCACUGUGCAAACACGAAAGUGGACGUAUACGGUGUGACGCCUGCCCGGUGCCGGAAGGUUAAUUGAUGGGGUUAUCCGUAAGGAGAAGCUCUUGAUCGAAGCCCCGGUAAACGGCGGCCGUAACUAUAACGGUCCUAAGGUAGCGAAAUUCCUUGUCGGGUAAGUUCCGACCUGCACGAAUGGCGUAAUGAUGGCCAGGCUGUCUCCACCCGAGACUCAGUGAAAUUGAACUCGCUGUGAAGAUGCAGUGUACCCGCGGCAAGACGGAAAGACCCCGUGAACCUUUACUAUAGCUUGACACUGAACAUUGAGCCUUGAUGUGUAGGAUAGGUGGGAGGCUUUGAAGCGUGGACGCCAGUCUGCGUGGAGCCAACCUUGAAAUACCACCCUUUAAUGUUUGAUGUUCUAACGUUGGCCCCUGACCGGGGUUGCGGACAGUGUCUGGUGGGUAGUUUGACUGGGGCGGUCUCCUCCCAAAGCGUAACGGAGGAGCACGAAGGUUAGCUAAUCCUGGUCGGACAUCAGGAGGUUAGUGCAAUGGCAUAAGCUAGCUUGACUGCGAGCGUGACGGCGCGAGCAGGUGCGAAAGCAGGUCAUAGUGAUCCGGUGGUUCUGAAUGGAAGGGCCAUCGCUCAACGGAUAAAAGGUACUCCGGGGAUAACAGGCUGAUACCGCCCAAGAGUUCAUAUCGACGGCGGUGUUUGGCACCUCGAUGUCGGCUCAUCACAUCCUGGGGCUGAAGUAGGUCCCAAGGGUAUGGCUGUUCGCCAUUUAAAGUGGUACGCGAGCUGGGUUUAGAACGUCGUGAGACAGUUCGGUCCCUAUCUGCCGUGGGCGCUGGAGAAUUGAGGGGGGCUGCUCCUAGUACGAGAGGACCGGAGUGGACGCAUCACUGGUGUUCGGGUUGUCAUGCCAAUGGCA
Molecule: ribosomal RNA, 2209 nt
Filed under: Klebsiella pneumoniae
Lineage: Bacteria; Pseudomonadati; Pseudomonadota; Gammaproteobacteria; Enterobacterales; Enterobacteriaceae
Description: bacterial LSU rRNA
Rfam family: Bacterial large subunit ribosomal RNA
Source: RNAcentral